CUCCGGGGCUCGGAGACCCAGCCUAAGUGUAAUAGCAGCCGCCCCAGACAAUCGACUUCCCAGCCAAUGCCGGGAGCUCCGGGCGGCCCCGCGACCGACGUCAACGUGCGCGGGGGGACCCGAGCAGACGCCGGGUGAAAUCUCAGGUCAGGCCCACCCCACCACGGCCAGGGUGGCUUCAUCCACCAAAAACACUGGAAAGCCAAAAUGGCAAACUUGGCAACUACCUCCUAUGAACUGAAGUCAAAACUUCAAUGACAUGUCUCAUUUGAACUUCAUUACUUUAAAAGGUAUGAUUUGGAAGAUUUCACACAAAAAAUUUACAUUUCUGCCUCUCCUGGAAAAUGAGAAGGCCUAGCUCUUCAGACCUGCAUCCCCACCAGGUAACCUGGAAUUGACAGCAGUAUCUUGUGGGUGGUGUGGGCAGGCGUCCUCACUCUCCUGCUCAGAUUUGAAGGGGGAGUGAUAUGGCAUGAUUCAAUUUUAAAAAGUUUACCUUGGCUGGAUGAUGGACUUAGUUUGGAUAGACACUCAGGUGGAUGCACCCAGAAUCUGAUUGCUUCUCAGCACCCCACCACCUUCUUAGUAUAAGCCACCAAUCUCUCCCACCUAGACAAUUAUAACAGCCCCCUAACUUCCCUGUUCUGUGGUCUCUUCUCACAGGCAACCUGAAUGGUACCUGAUGAGAAUGUACUCAAAACCUCCAAUGGCUCCCAUCUAACUUGGAAUCCAACCCAAAGUCUUUCCCAGAGUCUACAUAGCCUCUGCUCACCUCUCUGGCCUCUCCUGUCACCUUCUCCUGUGCUCCUGGCACAUUCUGGCCUCCCUGUAGCUUUCCAGCAAGCCAAAUGCUCUCCUCCUACCAUUCACCUUUGCAUGCACUGUUCCAGUCUUGCUAUCUUCUUGUCCUAGAGUUCAGCUGCCCGACAACUUCCCAACCCUGGCUGUCUGCUUCUGUUGCUUCAUUCCCCUGCCACCUGAGAUUGAACAGGAUCCCAUAUCACUCCUGUCCUUCACCGUUGCUCCACCUCUCUGUUCUGUUUCAUUCUUCACACAUUACUAACAGAAUGUCUGUUUGAUAUCAGUCUCUGCCCUUGGCAAAAUCUCCACUAAGAGUCUCUGCUGUGCCCACAGAACCCAACACAGACACAGCACAUGGGUGUGCACAGCAACUACUGUGGAGAGAGUGGCUGAGAAAUGGUCCACAGCAGGGCUGUCUUGUGAGGCUAAAGGCAAGAUCAUAGGGAUGUGGCCAAGGUAGUGUGGUGGACAUGGAACAAGAAGCACUAUCUGGAAGCUCUCCAGGACAACCGUGGUAAUGGGCCUCAGAAUGCCCUCCAGUCCUCUGAUUUGGACAGCCACAUGGAAGACGGUUGCAUUCAUCCAGAAGAGUCACCAGGAGCUAUCAGGCUGGAGGGAAGGCUGUGAAUUUGCGUUUAGACAUCGGACAUUGUGUGGGAAGUACAAGAUAUAAAGAUGCCAGAAGAUGGAUUUUCUACAGUUGCUCUGAGAUCUAUCUGUUUAAUACAAAGGACAUGAGAAUCCAUUGCUAACAGAGGAGUUAGAUGCUCUGGAUUUGGGCUGGUAGCCUCUUUUUUCUGUAUCAAGCAGCACCUGGCAGCAAAAGAUGAGGAACACUAACCAAAGGGACUCUCCACACCUAGUAACCCUAACUACCUACAGGCUGUUGAACUCAGGGUAGGACAAGAGGGCUCCAAGAAGCAACUGACUGACUCAUCGAUACAACUGUGUCCUUUAAUAAAGUGAAGACUUGCUUUCUUUAAAAUCUGAGGGCAUCACUUUUUUUGACAGAAAUUAGUUCAAAACCUUUAUAUGGCCACUGCAGCUUAAUGGCAGGGGCAGCAUUAUGGGAUUUGGAAAGUGGUAUAAAAGCAGGGAGAAUGAAGCCUCCCAGCUGUCAGGACAGCCUAAUGGAGACAUUGAUAUCUGGCUGCCUGGGAAUUCUAGGGCCUUCUAGAAAAUUUAACACAGUGGAACUAGAAGGAUAUUCUUUCACACAAUCCUGAGGAUUUGUUGCCUUAGAUGUAGAAAGAGAUUAAAAAUGAAAGUAAAGCAUUGGCUCACAAAGCAGGCUUGGGAGUGAAGUAAACGGCUAGAGUCCAGACACAUGGCUACCAUGAAAGAUUAAACACAGAAGGCGCCACAGGUACAGGCAAAUUACCUCCCCCCCCCCCCCCACCACCACCACCGGUGAAGCCAGGAUUCUGGUAACUAGGGACUUGUUUACAGUAUAAAAUAACUGAGAGAGUCUUCCUCAAUUAAGGAGGAGGAGAGAGAAAGAGAAGAAGAAAAAAGCUUCAUAUUUUCGGAGAUUAAAUCCUUCCCAUAGACCACAAAAGGGAGACCAAUUACAGGAAAAUUUCAUUUUAAUGGGCACUCUGUUUGAAUAUUAUCACUAUUGACUAUGAGUAAUUCUGCUUUAGUAUGUGUGAGUUAAAACCUCUGCUUUUUCAGACAAGAGUACUUUCUGCCAAUGAGCUGUGACUUAAAGUUGUGUGAUUUGUGUAAAUGUGUUGUAAUUAAUUGAGCUUUAAAAAUUGACUUUGAGGGGUGAAGGUCUUGGAAAUGGAUGCUAGCUUGGAAAAAGGCACCUUCUAAGAGGUGAUAAAAGAUAUUUAACUGACACGAAGCUCCUCUAAAUUUAUUUUGGUGGAGGCAAUUAAAAAAAAUCUGCGUAUGUUUGAAAAAGACAAAAUUUAAUUUAAAAAUAUCUUAACAUUAGAACAAAAUAAAGACUGACUUGGGAAAGUUAGAGUUGAAUGGGAAACAUCAGCAUGAACUCAUGUAUUUUAAAGGGAUUCUAAUUCUAUCACUAACAGUGUAACUGGGCAGCCCCACCCCCCAGGGCGUAAUCGCAGUUUACAGCCUAUGAGCCCCAAGGCCUAGGUCUUUGUCUGUAUUACCUUCCCCACAAACAGGGCUCAAAAAUCCUUGAAAGAUCAUUAAAUUUGUGUUAAGGAUGGCAAAAAUCAAGAUGGGCCCAAGACACUUGCCAGAGAACGUUUUCUAAACUGUUUUGAGAUAUUGCUAAAUAAAACAAAGAACUCACACUGACCAUACUGCAUUGCUUUUUCAAAAAGAAAGUACCCAUUAUAGUUAACUGAAGCAUGUUAAGGCUGUGAAAAGCCAUGAGAUUUGUGUGAGUCAUAUACUCAAGUUCUGAUCACCUAAGUUGACAAUCUUAAAUCAUAUUCAAGAAUAUAGGGGCACCUGGCCGGCUCAGUCCAUAGAGCAUGCAACCCUUGAUCUCAGGGUCAUGGAUUCAAGCCCCAUGUUGGGGGUACAGAUUACUUUUUUAAGAAAGAAUAUAGGGCGCAUGGGUGGCUCAGUUGGUUAAGCAUCUGAUUCUUGGUUUCAGCUCAGGUCAUGAUCUCGCAGUUCAUGAGUUUGAGCCCCACCUCGGGCUUCAUGCUGUUGUGGAGCCUACUUGCAAUUCUCUCUCUCCCUCUCUCUCUCUGCCCCUCCCUU
This is a long non-coding RNA of Acinonyx jubatus (cheetah), 3489 nucleotides long. RefSeq lists it as uncharacterized. The transcript is spliced from 3 exons. NCBI's taxonomy places the organism in Eukaryota, Metazoa, Chordata, Mammalia, Carnivora, Felidae. The record is from RefSeq and is a predicted model, not a curated record.